Molecule: long non-coding RNA, 834 nt
Filed under: Homo sapiens (human)
Lineage: Eukaryota; Metazoa; Chordata; Mammalia; Primates; Hominidae
Description: HSALNT0338935
Source: RNAcentral
CUCUAUGGAAGUACCUCGGUGGCACCAGGAGUCACUGGGGGCACCCAGCAGGUGCAUGCUUAAUGCAUGAUGGGUGAGACGUAAACAGCCAGCCAGGCGGGUCCAAGCUCUCUUCAGUGGUCCCCAGGGCUGGCAGCUGGCAGUGCAGGAAAUGGGGUCCCCGAGGCCUUGGGGGGCACCUCCCGUUGUUCGCCCCCACCCACAUCCGCUCAGGACACGCUUCCCACCUCCACCGCCCCCUUUCCCUGCAGGGACACCUGCCUCUUCCUGCCUCCCCGCCCAGCCUGCCUUUUUCUUGCACGUCAGCCAAAAUCCGAUUCCCCCAAGACUCUGCCUCAUCAAAGAUCCUCUUUCUCAUCACCAUAAUUUUCCAUUUGUAGGUUAAGCUGCACCUGGGGUUCUCAGAAAUCUGCUAACUCUCUUCCAACUCCCUGAACUCCUCAAACGCCUCGUCCUCCCCUGCUUCUGUUGUUCAGAGGACAGGACGUAGCAGGGGUCUGGAAUCUGAGGCUCAGAGCCCUUUCCCAGGAAGAAGAGGGCAACCAGCCCCUUUCAGCAUGUCCCGUGCUCCGUGCACCUCUGUGACACCUGGUUACUGUACUCUGAAGCUUCGCACACCCCCGCAGUCUCCAUCGUAACCCCAGAAAACCAAGGCUCAGAAGGCGACGGGCCCCAGGGCACCCGGACGGUGACGACGGUGGCUGUGCCGUGUCCACGCUGGGUCACCUCGGGGGCCAAGACAGCUGAUGGCCGCAUCCGGGGGUGUGGACAGAUGGGAAGAGGAGCGCACCAGUCAAUGCGUGAGCCCAUUUCCGGCAAUCAGCGCCACGACGG